UUUGGUAAGUCUAAGUCGCGGCAGUUGAAGUAGGUGUCCAUAUGCAGAGGCAGAGCUAGCCAUGUCCCAGUGUGAUAAUUAGUUAGGUCGUCCAUUUUGCAAAUCCUAUAUUUUGCGCAACUUUUGAAUGGUAGUUGAAGGUGUGACCUGAAGAGAGGAUGUUGAAUAAUGCUCUACCAAUUAAUAUCAACCAUCUAACUUCCACAUAGAGGAUACCAUCACCCUCCAGAAGUAUUCUCCGUCCAUCUUAGGUCACCAAUGGAUCCACCACCACCACCCACAGCUCCACUGCUCGGUCCAGAAAGCCAUGGUGGAGGAUGCUGGGAUUCAUGUUUAUGGUUUCUGUGCUGCUGUGGCCUAUUUUCAUGCUGCUGCCCUCCACUGUUUGAGCCUGUGCCUCCUCCUCCCUAAAGCUGCGUUUCUUUAGAUAUAAUUCUUUGGUUCGUCAGAAGAAACCAGAAUACAUAGUUCAUUGACACUUUUAUCUUCUGAUUUUUUUUCCGAAAAAUGUUGUGAUAACAAGAUUUUCUUUUGUGUUGAUUCAAGCUUCUUUUUUUCCGGGUGUUGUGUGGUUCUAUGUCUAUGUUUAGCUGCUGAAUUUUGAGUCGCAAGCCGGCCAGAAACGUAGCUUCUGGGAUUUGUAUUUGGUAUAAUUUGUGGGAAUUUGUAUUUGUGGAGUUAAUUAUGACUUAGUAUGUACUUGUAGUUC
Long non-coding RNA from Populus nigra (black poplar), 709 nucleotides. RefSeq lists it as uncharacterized. The transcript is spliced from 2 exons. The record is from RefSeq and is a predicted model, not a curated record. Lineage: Eukaryota; Viridiplantae; Streptophyta; Magnoliopsida; Malpighiales; Salicaceae.